Molecule: ribosomal RNA, 250 nt
Filed under: uncultured bacterium
Lineage: Bacteria
Description: partial 16S ribosomal RNA
Rfam family: Bacterial small subunit ribosomal RNA
Source: RNAcentral
UAGGGAAUCUUCGGCAAUGGACGAAAGUCUGACCGAGCAACGCCGCGUGAGUGAAGAAGGUUUUCGGAUCGUAAAACUCUGUUGUUAGAGAAGAACAAGGACGUUAGUAACUGAACGUCCCCUGACGGUAUCUAACCAGAAAGCCACGGCUAACUACGUGCCAGCAGCCGCGGUAAUACGUAGGUGGCAAGCGUUGUCCGGAUUUAUUGGGCGUAAAGCGAGCGCAGGCGGUUUCUUAAGUCUGAUGUGA